Molecule: ribosomal RNA, 253 nt
Filed under: uncultured bacterium
Lineage: Bacteria
Description: partial 16S ribosomal RNA
Rfam family: Bacterial small subunit ribosomal RNA
Source: RNAcentral
UACGUAGGCAGCGAGCGUUGUUCGGAGUUACUGGGCGUAAAGGGUGUGUAGGCGGUUGUUUAAGUUUGGUGUGAAAUCUGCCGGCUCAACUGGGAGGGUGCGCCGAAUACUGAGCGACUAGAGUGCGGGAGAGGAAAGUGGAAUUCCUGGUGUAGCGGUGAAAUGCGUAGAUAUCAGGAGGAACACCGGUGGUGUAGACGGCUUUCUGGACCGUAACUGACGCUGAGACACGAAAGCGUGGGUAGCAAACAGG